This 210-nucleotide long non-coding RNA is filed under the name Elaeis guineensis (African oil palm). RNAcentral describes it as "long non-coding RNA (EGUI_LNC080111)". The record is from RNAcentral. Lineage: Eukaryota; Viridiplantae; Streptophyta; Magnoliopsida; Arecales; Arecaceae.
GUCACGAUAAUGGACGCUGCUCCACUCUCCGCAAUAGGCUCCACGUGGUGGGGCACGGUGAUAGCCACGACCCCACCCAUUUACUCUCCAUAACAAACUCUUCUUGGCCCCGAGCGGCCCACUAUUAGGCAGUUACAAACAUCGCUAUCAAUCCGUUGCCCCUCCGCCUAUAAAAAGGAGGGUCCCAGAUACGUUAUUCUCUAAGCUCUA